This 496-nucleotide ribosomal RNA is filed under the name uncultured bacterium. Its description in RNAcentral is "partial 16S ribosomal RNA". It matches the Rfam family "Bacterial small subunit ribosomal RNA", at positions 29 to 507 of the family's 1533-position model. The record is from RNAcentral.
AUGAACGCUGGCGGCGUGCCUAAUACCUGCAAGUCGCGCGAACGGACGAGAAGCUUGCUUCUCUGAUGUUAGCGGCGGACGGGUGAGUAACACGUGGAUAACCUACCUAUAAGACUGGGAUAACUUCGGGAAACCGGAGCUAAUACCGGAUAAUAUUUUGAACCGCAUGUUUCAAAAGUGAAAGACGGUCUUGCUGUCACUUAUAGAUGGAUCCGCGCUGCAUUAGCUAGUUGGUAAGGUAACGGCUUACCAAGGCAACGAUGCAUAGCCGACCUGAGAGGGUGAUCGGCCACACUGGAACUGAGACACGGUCUAGACUCCUACGGGAGGCAGCAGUAGGGAAUCUUCCGCAAUGGGCGAAAGCCUGACGGAGCAACGCCGCGUGAGUGAUGAAGGUCUUCGGAUCGUAAAACUCUGUUAUUAGGGAAGAACAUAUGUGUAAGUAACUGUGCACAUCUUGACGGUACCUAAUCAGAAAGCCACGGCUAACUACGUG